UACGUAGGGGGCAAGCGUUGUCCGGAAUCAUUGGGCGUAAAGAGCGCGUAGGCGGUCCGAUAAGUCGGUUGUGAAAACUGGGGGCUCAACCCUCAGAGGCCGACCGAUACUGUCGGGCUAGAGUCCGGAAGAGGCGAGUGGAAUUCCUGGUGUAGCGGUGAAAUGCGCAGAUAUCAGGAGGAACACCAAUGGCGAAGGCGGCCCUCUGGACGGAUACUGACGCUGAGGCGCGAAAGCGUGGGGAUCAAACAGG
This 253-nucleotide ribosomal RNA is filed under the name uncultured bacterium. RNAcentral's name for it is "partial 16S ribosomal RNA". It matches the Rfam family "Bacterial small subunit ribosomal RNA", at positions 524 to 776 of the family's 1533-position model. The record is from RNAcentral.